Molecule: long non-coding RNA, 1000 nt
Organism: Rattus norvegicus (Norway rat)
Lineage: Eukaryota; Metazoa; Chordata; Mammalia; Rodentia; Muridae
Source: Ensembl
UGCCAUGUCCUACCUGCUAAACAGCUUUCCUUACAUUGACCAGAUUCGACAGUGCCUUUUCCAGCGACUGUAGGCAGCUGCGACGUGCCAGGCCUCAAAGUUGGCGCUGGUUUCUGCCUUCCACCCUCCCAAUGUUGGGCACGGCAAGUUGUGGCUUGUACAGGGACCUCCUGAGAUCAGAACUUCUUGCAGUGAGGAUGGCACUGGAAAGUUCCCAAGGUAAUUGGACAGGAGAAUUCGAUUUCUUAAUGGAUCAGCUACGUGUAGCCAUCAUGACCGUGAACUCCACACGUGCAGAUGCUAGACUGGCUAUGGGAUUGUCAUCUUGGAUUGAGGCUGCUAUGAAUCAUCUGAGGGAGUGGGCGGGUAUGGGAACCCUAGCUUGACUCUUGCUGCUGGUCUCCCUAGUGCGCCUGUGGUGUCUCUGUUGAAUGAGGUUUGUUCAGAGGCGGCACGAGUUUAUGGUGGUACAGGUAUUUGCAGCCAUUAAAUCAGGACAGUCCCCUCAAGCCUGGCUUACGGUCAUUCAGAAGACCUUGUUGUACCUCACGCCUGAGUAUGUAUGAGUGACCCUGCCCAGUGAUGGGCAACCUCCCUUCUACCUAAGGCAUGGGACCUUGUGGGAGACGAGGUGUCCUAAGACUGCUUUAAUGAACAGAUGAUCCUAAGAUGGUUGGAUGGGUUGCCACGCUCAGGGGUGCUUUUGCCUGCUUGAUUAAUUAAACAAUAAGGGGGAACUAUAGGCAGUUGCGAUAUGGUGCGCCUCAAAGAUGGUGCUGGUUUCCAUCUUCCACCCUCCCAAUGGUGCGUGCUCCUUGUAGUAAGGAAGUCCUUAAUUGGCUAUGCCUGCCUGGCCUCCCAGCUUCCGCAUAGUGAGAGCCGAUCUUCAUGACGCACAUAGCUUGCUGGGAUUGGCCAGCAGUAGCUAUUUAAGUGUGCUCCGGGGUUUCCAAGGGGGCAGAAGAUUGUAUCAAGGUUCCUGAAUAAAACUGCUUGAAGA